Molecule: ribosomal RNA, 496 nt
Filed under: uncultured bacterium
Lineage: Bacteria
Description: bacterial SSU rRNA
Rfam family: Bacterial small subunit ribosomal RNA
Source: RNAcentral
ACACGCUGGCGGCGUGCCUAACACAUGCAAGUCAAGGAGAAUUCCCGACUUGUCGGGAUAGUAAACUGGCGAACGGGUGAGUAACACGUAGGUAAUCUACCCUCGGGAUCGGGAUAACCUUGCGAAAGUGGGGAUAAUACCGAAUAAAGUCUCGGUAUAAUUUGUCGAGAUGAAAGAUGGGGAUCUUCGGACCUAUUACCUGAGGAUGAGCCUGCGCCUGAUUAGCUAGUUGGUAGGGUAAAUGCCUACCAAGGCAACGAUCAGUAGCUGGUCUGAGAGGAUGAUCAGCCACAUUGGGACUGAGAUACGGCCCAGACUCCUACGGGAGGCAGCAGUGAGGAAUUUUGCGCAAUGGGCGAAAGCCUGACGCAGCAACGCCGCGUGACUGAUUAAGCUCUGAGGAGUGUAAAAGUCUGUCGUAGAGGAAGAAACUAUCCGAUAAGAAUAUUGUCGGAUACUGACGGUACUCUAUGAGAAAGCUCCGGCUAACUCCGUG